RNAcentral lists this unclassified non-coding RNA (342 nucleotides) under Symplocos thwaitesii. RNAcentral describes it as "partial miscellaneous RNA". Lineage: Eukaryota; Viridiplantae; Streptophyta; Magnoliopsida; Ericales; Symplocaceae. The record is from RNAcentral.
GAUAAGAUUUUGGUCUUAGUGUAUACGAGUUUUUGAAAGUAAGGGAGCAAUAAACAAUUUCUUGUUCUAUCAAGAGGGCGUUAUUGCUCCUUUACUUUCUCUUAUUUAUUAGUAGUAUUUACAUAUAUUUUUUUCGUUACAAAAAAAAAUUAUUAUGGGUAAAACGAAUAGGUUUUUUUGUAUGGGUUGGUUCAUGAUUAAGUAUCGUCUUUUCGUUCUAUAUUAAUUUAGAAUUUAAAUACUUUUGUGAAAUUUUUUUUUCCCUUUAAAAGGGAAAUUUUUUCAUUUUUAUUUCAUUUUACUUAAUAUUUUUAUUUCCGAAAUAAGAACGAAAUAAUGAUG